GAAUUGUAUUUUCAAAAUGCAUUGCUAACACAACUGCACAUGUUUGUUUAUUGGAAAGAACAUCACAAAGGGUGACAAUCCCAUGUGUCAUGUGUAUGUUUUGUGUACAGCGUGCAUUAUAUGAAUCACAUUCAUUGACAAUUGAAUGCAAAUAGAAUGGUAAAUUUCAUUUAAUCAUAAAUAUGUUGUUGACAACUUAUAGCAAACAAAUACCAUGAGGGAAAUGUGAAAAGGAUUUUGAAAAGAAAAUUAAAAGAGCUUGCAAUUGCUGAACUGAUAAGCAAACAAAACAUACGUGUGUAUGCAAGAUUGUUGUAAUGCUUAGCAUCUUAUGCAAGGCUAUUGCAAUGAUUUUUUGUAUAGUGAUGCUACCUUUUUUUAGAAUUUGGAAUGUCUUUUUUUGAAUGUGAAUGGAAUUUUGUUUGUUAACAAAGGAAUGCACUUUUAGAUUCAUUGNNNGAUUUG
RNAcentral lists this ribosomal RNA (465 nucleotides) under Coolia malayensis. RNAcentral's name for it is "partial large subunit ribosomal RNA". It matches the Rfam family "Eukaryotic large subunit ribosomal RNA", at positions 140 to 597 of the family's 3401-position model. The record is from RNAcentral. Lineage: Eukaryota; Dinophyceae; Peridiniales; Ostreopsidaceae.